CGCACUGGGAUGAUCAGUACGGCGAGUGAAGCGGCAAGAGCUCAAAUUUGAAAGCUGGCCCCUUCGGGGUCCGCGUUGUAAUUUGCAGAGGAUGCUUCGGGUGCAGCCCCCGUCUAAGUGCCCUGGAACGGGCCGUCAUAGAGGGUGAGAAUCCCGUCUGGGACGGGGUGUCUGCGUCCGUGUGAAGCUCCUUCGACGAGUCGAGUUGUUUGGGAAUGCAGCUCUAAAUGGGUGGUAAAUUUCAUCUAAAGCUAAAUACUGGCCGGAGACCGAUAGCGCACAAGUAGAGUGAUCGAAAGAUGAAAAGCACUUUGAAAAGAGAGUUAAACAGCACGUGAAAUUGUUGAAAGGGAAGCGUUUGCGACCAGACUCGCCCGCGGGGUUCAGCCGGCAUUCGUGCCGGUGUACUUCCCCGUGGGCGGGCCAGCGUCGGUUUGGGCGGCCGGUCAAAGGCCCUCGGAAUGUAUCACCUCUCGGGGUGUCUUAUAGCCGAGGGUGCAAUGCGGCCUGCCUGGACCGAGGAACGCGCUUCGGCUCGGACGCUGGCGUAAUGGUCGUAAAUGACCCGUCUUGAAAACCGGGACCAAA
Molecule: ribosomal RNA, 588 nt
Filed under: Aspergillus fumigatus
Lineage: Eukaryota; Fungi; Ascomycota; Eurotiomycetes; Eurotiales; Aspergillaceae
Description: partial large subunit ribosomal RNA
Rfam family: Eukaryotic large subunit ribosomal RNA
Source: RNAcentral